CGGGAGGCAGCAGUGGGGAAUCUUCCGCAAUGGGCGAAAGCCUGACGGAGCGACGCCGCGUGAGCGAAGAAGGCCUUCGGGUCGUAAAGCUCGAUAGUGUGGGAAGAAGGAAUGACGGAC
RNAcentral lists this ribosomal RNA (120 nucleotides) under Thermoanaerobacter sp. enrichment culture clone CX2. RNAcentral's name for it is "partial 16S ribosomal RNA". It matches the Rfam family "Bacterial small subunit ribosomal RNA", at positions 342 to 461 of the family's 1533-position model. The record is from RNAcentral. Lineage: Bacteria; Bacillati; Bacillota; Clostridia; Thermoanaerobacterales; Thermoanaerobacteraceae.